RNAcentral lists this long non-coding RNA (4075 nucleotides) under Malus domestica (apple). RNAcentral describes it as "long non-coding RNA (MDOM_LNC007508)". Lineage: Eukaryota; Viridiplantae; Streptophyta; Magnoliopsida; Rosales; Rosaceae. The record is from RNAcentral.
AAACACUGUUUCAAAACUUAAAGAAAAAGGGAAUGAAAACCACACCGAUGCAUUGAAUGAUGCCAAAAGAUCACACAACUACUUAUUAAUACUUUUUGCUGCAACAGGCAAUAUUAAUUUAGUUGUAGGAGUCUUGGUUCUCCAAGAGGUAGUUCUCAAUCAACUUGAAGAGGUGGGAGGCCUUCUCUUUGCCAGCCUUAACAUGCUCUUCCUUGAUCUCAACGUCACAUUUUGUGUGGUAGUGGUUGAUGCUCUUGAUGACAGAACCGCUGCCUGAAGCCACCAACUUGGUCUCAUAAGAGAUCUUCUCAAUUGUCUCAGUGAUAGCAUCUCCUUCGAUCACACUGUACUUGUAGACAAAGUUGUCCUUGUCAACCCCAUCAAUUCUGUGCUUCACGUAGUUGUAUGUGCUACCUUCACCGAAGUUGAUCUUCUUAAUGGUUCCAACUCUGCCAUCUCCUUCAAGGAUCUCAGUGCUCUUCACUGCCUGUGGUGCAAUCUUGGGGAUGAGGUUGUCAGCAUCAAGAACAAAAGCAUUGUACAACCUAGCAGGGGGGAUGACGGAGGUGAACUCGAAUUCGUAUGUGAAAACACCCAUGAUUCUGAGAAGUGUUUGGAAAGUAAGAAAAUAGAAAUUGAUGAGGAGGAAGAUGAUGUAAUGGGAGGUUUUGAGUUGUGAAGAAGUGAGGGAGGAGGUAUGUAUUUAUAGGGUGAGGCCGAAGGUUGAUCAUAAGGUUUUAUUAUGCAAGUUCCUGCUUGGUUCUAUUCAUUUACGUGGGAACCAUUACUUUUUCUACGUGGAUUUUUGUAUUUUAGUAAAGAGGAAGGGAAGGACCAUCUGGAUAUUGAAUAAGAAAAUACCCAAUUAAUCACGAGGUCGACUGUAACCUCAGUUAUGUUCCAUAUAUAACAUGGGUUUGUACUAUGAGAUUCCAUUUGAUGAUAAACAAUAGUAUGAGAACAAGCAUGAACCAUGCAUGUGGGACUUCUAAUAAUUCAAUUUUCGUUGUCUACUACUAUAUAGUUGACAUUUUUGAGUCAUUUUUCAUUUGGCUGUGUGCUUAAAUAGGUUAACAGGGACGAGGACUGUGCGUUGGGAUAACAGCAUAAAUAAUACUUGUUACAGUUGAAAUUAUUUUGAGCAAUUUCGAUUUGGAGAGGUGAAAGCCUAAAGGAAAACGGUGGCCAAUCAAUGUUGAUAAAUUGCAACUAGCCAAUGCUGAAAUGCAAGUCAAGUCGCCCUAAUUUGAACGUCUGGAGUUUGACCAAAAAAAAAAAUUUGAACUUCUAGAAGUGCAUACUAUUUGUAAGAUACGUAAUAAUAUUAACUAAUUAACCUCCGUAAAAUUUAUUGGAAAAUCUAAACAACUUGGUUCAUUUUUUAUGUUAAGAGUGUUUUUGAUAUGGUUUGUAUUAUGGUUUUCUAGUCGGAUAAGAAUUAUGAUUACUUUCCCAUCUUUAAUAAAGGUUUAAGAUUGCUUUAUUAUUUCUUUUAGUAUAUUAAGUCUUUAUAAGUACAUCUCUUGUCGCCUUGGAGGUAUCAAGUCUUAGCAAGACUAAUGUUUUCGUUAUGUAGCAUGCUUGUCAAUUUGGAGUAUUUUUCUUUCUUGUAAGUCUAUGGAAUAAUAUUUAUUUUUCAAUAAUUUUUUUUCGUCCUUCAAUUUGUAAAAUAAAUUUCCAAUUGUAUUGCCAUUCCUUUAUGUAAUGCAUGCACCUAUUGUUUAAGAGCCAAUCUUGUCUAAUCAUUUUCCACUAUAAAAAAUAUAUAUAUCAACAGCUAAUUACAUGUGUGAAGCUUACAAUGUUGCGAUUACUAUUGUUGAAGGUAAAAGAAUUAUCACUUAAGUCUUGUGUAGUAUAAAGGAUUGGGUUGCAAUGUAUAAACCACUAUUGUCAAGGUAUGUUGAAGGAAUAAAUGAAAAUUUUGUAGCAAACUUGGAGUAUGAGAUGAAUUACUGAAAAGAAAACUUAUCUAUUUUAAUCCUCCUCAAAAUGGUAUACAAAGGAGAAGUUUUUUCCACUUCUAACCUCCUUAUCCCCUUAAAAGAAAAAAUCAUUAUUCUUUACCUUUAUUGUACCUUAAAUUUGCUAGUUAGUGAGUAUAUUUGGCAGAACUUUACCGAGGACGAUUCAAAAAGAGUCCCUUAAAUUAACAGAGUACAUAGGUAGCUGAGAGCAAGGAUUCUUAUUCAAAUAUAUAUGAUAUAUACUUAUUUUUGAAACUAAUGAGACCACACCGAUACAUUUAUUAGUCUAAGAAUAUAAAGGUAGCUGAGAGCAAGGAUUCUUAUUCAAAUAUAAGGGAUUGGGUCAACUCAUGCAAAAAGACCAUGGCAUAUGUAUAUUUAUUAGUUUACAAAUUUAAUCUUUUUAACAUUACUCUUAUUCAUUAGUAAUUGGGUCAACUCAUGGAGAAAGACUAUGGCAUAUGUAUAUUCAUUUGUCAUAUCAUGAUAACUAUAAAUGUUAAAUAUGUGUGGUCAACUCGUGUAGUUAGAAAAUAUGAUGCUUUAAAUUGAGGGAACUUUAACGAAAAGUUUCUGGUACUGUUUACUUUAACGAAAAACCACAUUUUUACACUAAAAAGUCAAUCAUGGUACUGUUCACUUUACCCUUUAUGUUGUUCUUAUUGUUAAAACUCAAAGUUUUCAAGCCAUUUUAAUUGGUUUUCCUUUAAAUUGAUCGCAUAUUAGGUGGUAGAUAAGAUUCAUUUGUUUUGUUUUGUUAAAUUAGUUAGGCUUUUUAUCCAAAAUGGCCUCUGAGAAUUGCAUAACACAUCACUUUGGUCCCCUAAGAUUCAAAAUCAAUAGAAAUGGUCCCUGAGAUUGUCUACCAUCCAUUAUUUUGGUCAUUCCAUUAAAAACUCCGUUAAGUGUCCCGGAACUCUUGGCUGGAAAUUUGGGCAAUUUUCAAAGUUUCGUAAACCAAUCGUUUCACAACCAAAUUCAACCGAUAAUAUAUCAAAAACAAAAAUCAUACUUCUCAACGAGAUGAAGAUAAUGGAAUGGUAUCUUUCUUGAAGGCUAAAUUUUCGUGGUUUGGCCGGAACAUAGCUUAAAAGUGGCUAACUCGACAACCAAGACAGCCACUUUUGAGCAUUUUUUCGGCCAAACCACGGUGUGAUAGCCUUCACAAAAGGUACCAUUCUCUUCGUCUCAUCGAGAAGUAUGAUGUUUGUUAAGUAUUGAAGAAGUUAUGAACGCUUAAAUUUUACCCAGUUUCAGGUAAGUUUUCCAGUUUUCCGGCAGACCAGUCACCUUUUAGGCUAUUUUUCGGCCAUCUCCAGCAGCCAUUGCGCUUCCAAAUAGGUAUAAUCUUGUUCUACACUUUCCUAUCUUCAUUUUGAUAUAUUAUGGGUUGAAUUUGGUUAAGAACCAAUUGAGUUACGAAGCUUUGAAAAUUGCCCAAACUUCCAGCCAAGAGCUCCGGGACACUUAAUAGAGUUUUUAACAGAAGGACCAAAAUAAUGGAUUGUGAACAAUCUCAGGGACCAUUUCUAUUGAUUUUCAAUCUCAGGAACCAAAGUGAUGUGUUAUGCAAAUCUCAGGAACCAUUUUAGCUUAAAAACCAAUUAGUUAUCAUGUGAUUUUUUGGUGUGAUUGACAUGACAUGUCACAUGGAAUAAUAGAAGUCAAGUUAGAAAAAUGAAAAUUGAAAAAGAAAUUUAAAAAUAUAUCAUCAAAUAUGAAUUCUUCUUAUUUAUUUGUAAAUGAAAGGAAACACAAUAUUCACUCCCCUCAAAAGCUCCAAUUACAAGCCAAAACACUGUUUCAAAAUUUAAAGAAAAAGCGAAUGAAAAUCACACCGAUGCAUUGUGUGAUGCCAAAAGAGGACACAACUACUUAAUAAUACUUUUUUCGGUAGCAGACAACAUUAAUUUAGUUGUAGGCAUCCUGGUGCUCUAAGAGGUAGUUCUCAAUCAACUUGAAGAGGUGGGAGGCCUUCUCUUUGCCAGCCUUAACAUGCUCUUCCUUGAUCUCAACGUCACCUUUUGUGUGGUAGUGGCUGAUGCUCUUGAUGACAGAACCGCUGCCGUAAGCCACCAACUUGGUCUCAUAAGAGAUCUUCUCAAUUG